UCAGUUAGUUGGUGAGUUAAUGGCUCACCAAGGCUAUGACGGGUAGCUGGUCUGAGAGGACGACCAGCCACACGGGAACUGAGACACGGUCCCGACUCCUACGGGAGGCAGCAGUGGGGAAUUUUCCGCAAUGGGCGAAAGCCUGACGGAGUGACGCCGCGUGGGGGACGAAGGCCUUCGGGUCGUAAACCCCUGUCAGAGGGAAAGAAGGGUGCAUCGGAUUAAUACCCCGGUGGUCUGACGGUACCUUCAGAGGAAGC
Molecule: ribosomal RNA, 260 nt
Filed under: uncultured soil bacterium
Lineage: Bacteria
Description: partial 16S ribosomal RNA
Rfam family: Bacterial small subunit ribosomal RNA
Source: RNAcentral